RNAcentral lists this long non-coding RNA (29909 nucleotides) under Malus domestica (apple). RNAcentral describes it as "long non-coding RNA (MDOM_LNC006805)". The record is from RNAcentral. Lineage: Eukaryota; Viridiplantae; Streptophyta; Magnoliopsida; Rosales; Rosaceae.
GAUGUUGUCCUAGAGGUAUAUUGUGGACCUCUGGAAGUUUCGGAUUUGAAAUCUGAAUUGCAGAUCAUCCGGAUCGAACUACGUAGUGACGUGUCUUAUAUAAGUUAUGUAUUCUAUCGGCAGGAUUUCUGAGGUUGGGUUUGAUUAUUGUUCUAGGCGCUAAUCUUCAUGACGCCUUGAUGUGUGGUGCUAGGGAGUUGUUGAGCGAACUCCAGGUGAGUGGGCAGUUUUUUGUUUUCGUAUUACCUUUAUACUAUAAAUUUUUUCCCAGAAGAUGAAUUUAUACGAAAUUAUGUUUUGAAAAUGCCAUGCAUAGAAUUAUUUGGAAAAGGUGAAUUUCACAUGAGUUAUAUGAUUGAUAUAUGAUGCAUACAUGUUGCAUGGUGCUGUGGAGGCACAGGUAAGUCAGGUGAGUUCAUUAUUCAUUUAAUUGAUUGUUGAUAAGAUGUUUCAAGCUCAUAAACCUGCACCCUAGGUGUUAGUGCUUAUUUUAUUCACCACACCGCACGCUCGCCUUGGAUCCAAGUAGGUGGAUGUCGUACAGACCAUGUGAGGGUUCCGACAUGCUAGUCGUAUAGAUCACUAGGCGUGAUUCCGACUAGUGGGUGAUCUUAGUUAUGCGCGCUGAUGAUUGAUGAGAGAAGCACUAGAGCGUAUUUUUACACCUUUCAUCGUACAGACUACCUUACGUAGUUCCGAGUGAUGUGCAGAGUAGGGCCGUAUAGGUCACUGUGGUGACUCCGGCUUAGUGAGAUAUUGAGCUAUUGAAUUAAUCGUAUAGGACCAACUGCAGGGUCUCCGAUUGAUUCCUUAUUUCACCUGAUUUAUAUUUUGAUUUAUGGCAUGGCAUGUUUUUCUUGAAAAAUGUUAAAGAUUUGGGAUUCAAGUUUUGAGAUUUCAUAUGGUUAUAUAUAUAUAUUUUUCUGAAAAGUGUUAAAGGUUUGAGAUUUGAGAUUUUUGCUUAUAUAUAUGUUUAUAUAUAUGCUAUUUUCUGGGAAAGUAUACAGGUUUUACGGUGAGGGGUUAGAAAUAUUUUAAAUGAAAAGUUUUCGAAAAACUUUGUUUUACUGACCCACUCAAUUUUGUUUUGCGCCCCUCCAGGUUCAAGUUAGCAGAGCUUUGGUGGCCACGAGGAAUCCAACGGUGUUCUGACAGAAUUCACAAAAGUAGGACUCACCCUCGGGUGUGUCAUCUUAGUAAUUGGAAAUUUUUUUUAAAGCUUCUGAACUAUGUAAAUGGUUACGUCACUCUCACGUGACGGCCAGCACGCCCUCCUUCGGGACGGGGUGUGUCAGUUGGUAUCAGAGCCUAGGUUGCAAUUCUGGACAUCUUGAGAAUUUCCUAGUGUCUUCUGUCAGAACUAUACCGCCUCAUAGCGAGCCACGUAGUUCGGAUGAGCCUAAAUUCCCUGAUAUAGUAGUUUGGGGGGAAAUUAUUGUCACUAUGAUUCAGUCUAUUAUCUAAAGGAACCUUUGAGACUGAUUAUAAGUUAAAUUUGAAUACAGACUUGCCUUGUUUCCAUUCGGGAUGUUGUUACUAAUCCGGUCGAGGUGUUAUGUCGUUUUUGGCGGGAUAAUAAGAAGAAGUGACGUUCUUUGGCGACCACAAUCCAUUGUACUUUUUUACCAGGAGUUUACGAGAUGUUGUUGGGCUUUGAGGACUUUGAGAAUAUGAUCAGCGAGAGUAAAGAAGAAUAAGAAAAGAAUGGUAAUUAGAGGAAAGGUGAGAAAGUUAAAGAUCCGUCAUAUCAAGGACGUCGAAAGACUCAGAGCUUCAAAAGAAGUGAAGUUAGAACUAAUUCUUCCAACUGAGGUUUUAGUGCCACUGGUCCGAGGCGAAGUGAUAGAUUUACGGGUGAUCCCAGAUCUUAAAGACAAGGGGUGACUCGAGUAAGGGAAAUGUACCUUUGUGCCAUAGGUAUAAUAUUAGACACUUUGGAGAGUGUGGGAAUCAGUGAAUGUGUUCAUGUGGAUGGAUGGGACAUAGAGGUAUGAAUUGUCCCUGGAAUCAGUUGUUACCCAAUAGUCUUCCUUAACAUAUCACUUGGAAAUAUUGACGAGUAAGUCGUACAGGUCACUAUAUGUGACUCCGACUUAUGUGCUAGCAUGGAUGGUCGAGUUGUAGACUCAGUCGUACAGGUCAUUCUAGCUGACUCCGGCUGAUAUAUUUCUUAUUAUGGUCGAUGUUGCCAAAGAAAGUAAUGUUGGAGCACGAUCGAGGCGUAUUUAUGUAUUUCUAAGGAAGAACAAGAUGAUAAUAUUACACCCCUCAGGAAUUGUUACUUAGUUAUCGAGACAACAGUGAGUUAUUUGUAUUGCGGGCUGCAGACCGUAAUAUUUAUAACUUAUUUGUUGGAUUCGUUAAGUAAGUAAACAAGUAAGGCACUUUAUGUUGAUUUGGUUUAUUAAGGGUGUCCAGUGAUGGUGAAAAAUGUCAUGUCAGUGAAUUUUAUUCCGUUGGAUAUUAUGGAUUUUGAGGUGAUUUUUUUUGGCACCAGUGCGUGCAGUAUAAUUGUGUCAAGCUAGAUUGCUAUGGGGAAUCAGUUAAUUUUUGUUGACCUGGAUGACCAGAGGUUACUUUUAGGGGUAAGUAAAGUGGAGUGAGUUAUGCCAUUAUUCCUGUUGAGAGAGCAAAGAAGAUUGUUAUCAAAAGGCUGCCAAGAUAUUGAGUUCAUAUGGUGCUAAAUGAUGUUGAUCCUAAUAGUAUGGAAGAUGUAAAGAUGGUUAGACAUUUUCUUGGUGUAUUCCCAGAUGACUUACCUAGAUUGCCGCCAGGCAGAGAUGUGGGUUCCAUUAUUGAAUUGUUUUUAGGUACAAAUCCUAUGUUAGAAAUUGGUUCAGGUUGAGUUAAAAGUUCCAUUCAACUUAUUAUAUCACAUUGGAAAAGCUCCGGUUUAUUUGUGAGGAAGAAAGUGGACAUUAAGGCUAGGCAUUGAUAUUAGGUAAUUGAAUCGGGUAACGAUUGAGAGCUGUUAUCCAUUGUUGUGUAUUAAUGAUUAUUUGAUCAGCUCUGAGGCGCCUGGGUACUUUCUGAGACUGACUUGAGGUCUGAAUGAUAUUAGUUGAAGAUUAACAGUGGGGAUGUCCAUAAGACUGAAUCCAGGACUCGUUAUGGUCAUUUCAAGUUGGGAUGCCAUACGGAGUGACGAAUGCACCUACUAUUUUUAUGAGCUUACUGAAGGAAGUAUUCCAGUGAUAUCUAGAUCGGUUUGUUGUUGUUGCCAUUGACGAGAUUGAUAAGAUUAGAGCAGUGCAUGCUAGAUAUUUUAAAGUUGGGUGUUGCAAAGAUUGAAGGAACGUUGAUGUAUGCUAAGUUUAGCAAAUGCUAAUGUUGGAUAAAUUAAUUAUAUCUACUUAAGGUAUUCAAGUGGAUUCUUAAAAGAGUAGCAACGAUUGAGAAUUUGGAACAAUUGCGAACCGUGACUGAGGUUUAGAGUUUUCUCGGAUUAGCAGGAUAUUGUCGAUAGUUCGUCCAAGAUUUUAAUUAUUGCUUCGCCCUUGGCGAGAUUGAUGAGAAAAGAGGUUAAGUUUGAGUGGGAUGAAAAAUUGUGAGUAGAGCUUCAGCAAGUAAAGUAUUCCCUCACUCAUGCAUCUGUUUUCGCACUCCCAAACGAUAGUGGUAAUUACGUAGUCUAUAGUAAUACUUCUUUGAAUGUUCUUGAAUGCGCGUUGAUGCAACAUGGUAGGAUGAUUGCCUAUGCUUCAUGGCCAUUGGGAUCUCAUAAGAUGAAUUACCCUAAUUAUAAUUUGGAAUUAGCAGCUAUCAUCUUUGCUUUGAGAAUUUGGAGACAUUGUCUUUAUGGGAAGAAAAGUGCAUGAUUGUUACAAAUCAAAAGAGUACCCAAUAUCUGUUUAUUCAGAGGUAUCUUAAUCUUAGGCAACAAAGGUGGAAUGAGUUGCUUAGUGAUUAUGAUUGUGUGACGAGGGUGGUCAAGCUAAUGUUGUGGCUGAUGCAUUUAGUAGGAAGACCCCAGUGAGAAUUAAUGCUUGGUAUGCUUGCUAUGUUCAUCUUCUUGUGGAUUUGAAAUCUACUGGAGUAAAGUUGAGUAUCAAAAAUCGAGAAGAAGCCUUACUUGCUAAUUUCUAAGUUGGACCCAUUUGGUAGAUCGUACUCGAUACUCAAGCGUUUGACGAAGAAAUUCAAGAAUUUAUUUAAAGCAAGGAAUAACGGGAUAAAGAAGGACCUUAGAGUUAGAGAAUCAGAUGGCAAGCUUAUGCAAGGGAACAAAGUGUUUAUGCCUAAUGGUGUGGAAUUAAAUAAAGCAAUUUUGACGAUGUACAUUAUUCCACUUCUACAAUGCAUCCCAAAAGUACUAAGAUUUAUCAUACCAUUCGUUCAUGUACUAUUGACGGGUAUGAAAAGAGGAACGGCGAAGUAUGUUAGUAGGCGUAUCAUCAGUCAUCAGGUUAAAGCAGAAAGAAAUAAGUCUUUUGGAAUAAUGUAGUCAUUUCCCAUUCCACGGCGGAAAUGGGAGAAUAUUACUAUGGAUUUCAUGGACAAGCUUCCUCGUAUACCAAAUAGUUAGGUUGGAGUUUGAAUAAUAAUUGAUUGAUUUGUGACGUCAGCGCAUGUUACUUCAGUAUGAGAACAUCAACCUUUCCAGAUAAGCGCAACAGUCAUUUAUUUGUUUUAUGGAAAAAGGAGAUUGGGAUCUGUUAAACUUCUUGGGUAUGUUGGUUCCUUCAGUUUGUUCCCUAGAGUAACGCCAUAAGGCCGUGGAAAGCUAUGUCUUGUGUUUCGAAAUUGUUAGAAUUGGGGACGGAUGAUAUUCAAGACUCUGAGUUUGGUGAAAAUUUAUGGAGGAAUCUUUCAGUGGAAGAAAACUACUUGAAAGUCAAAGAAUCGAAUGAGAGAGAUGUGUGUUUCGGGCUGUUUCAUGGAUAUUGAUGGAUUGUAAAGAUUGUGUAAAUUUCGAGGACGAAAUUUCUGUAAGGUGGGUAGAUUGUGACAGCCCGUCCCUAAUUUUAAGAAUUUUUAAAGUUUUAAUAAAGGAUUUUACAAAAAUGCCCUUCGAGGCACGCACAUCAUUCGAGGUUAAUCGUUGUGUCGUGCCAUCUAAGAUUUGUUUUCUUGACAUAUCCUCGUAGUACUCGUCGUUACGGACGUGUGGGCGCAGACGGUUCGUGAUUUGGAGUUAUAUCGAAGAAGUUAUUAACGUUUGAAAUUUGGAAUUUUAAGGAAUUAUAAUUUUAGUAAAAUAUAGAAAUUCUUUUAUGAAAUUGGACGGCCCAGAUUUAUUGAUGAAUGAAAUGGAUGGCUGGGAUGAGGGAAAGGUUUUUGGUGUGUGUAUGUGUAUGAGAAGAAGAAACAGAAAACAGAAAAGAAGAAGAGACUGGGCAGAAAUGCCCAAUCGGAGAAGAAGAAGGUGAGAGCAAACCAGAAGAAGGGAGAGGAAGAAGCUGACCAAUCAGGGGACGGAAAGGAGGGAAAGGAGGGAAAGGAGGGAGAGUGGUGCGCGGGGGAACAGGAGGAAUGGGUCACCCUUGACCCGCGCGACCCAAGCUUCCAAAUCGGCGGGUUUUCGCCAUUUCCGUCCAAAUUUCCGACGAAUUGAGUCAAGGUACCACUCCUAAUCAUCAUCUAGGCCUUCCCUCUUUACGUUUCACCCCAAGAAUCAUUGAAUUUCGUUGUGAUUUCGCGAAGAACACCCCUACGGGUGCCGCGACCCUUUUGUUUAAAUUCUCCAAAUUUUGAAAUGUUUUCUUUCAAUUACUAACACCUUUAGCAUUCCUUUAGGACCUAGAACAAAGCCCAAGAGGUAAUUGAGGCGUUGGAACAAGUUUGAAGGUCGAAUUGGAAACACCCAAAUUCUAGGGUUCUUCACGGUUUUGGUGAAAUUGAAGCACUUCCAGGCCAAAUUGGCCUUGGUCUCAGGUAUGAAAGUUGUUCUACUCAUUGAGAUCUUCAAAUCUGCAAAUUUUGGUAAUUUUUGGAAAUAGUUGAAUUUUCCGGCGAGCCGGGGCGGCCAACCGCCACCCGCGGCGGCCCGCGCGGCGGCGCGUGGCCAAUGGCCGCCAAUGUCAUUAUUAGCUUGUGAUUAAGGUUCUAGGUUCUGUUUUGAUAAUUGAUGGACGUAAAUUGAAUAAUUGAACCUAAGUUGGUUACGAUUCGGGGUUAGGUGAAAAUGUGAAUUGACGAUCCGACCGUUGGAUCGUCAUCAAACUUUGAUACGUUGUAAUACGUAAUAUUUGAGGAUUAUAGGAACUUACGGAUUGGGAAUCCGAUUUACGGAUAUUCCGGAAUUGGAAUUGUAAGUUCAUAAAAUAGAAUGUUAACCGUCACUUAGUUUUGGAAAUUGACGGAGAUCCGACCGUUGGAUGGUAACGAAAUUUUAGGAUGUUGUCCUAGAGGUAUAUUGUGGACCUCUGGAAGUUUCGGAUUUGAAAUCUGAAUUGCAGAUCAUCCGGAUCGAACUACGUAGUGACGUGUCUUAUAUAAGUUAUGUAUUCUAUCGGCAGGAUUUCUGAGGUUGGGUUUGAUUAUUGUUCUAGGCGCUAAUCUUCAUGACGCCUUGAUGUGUGGUGCUAGGGAGUUGUUGAGCGAACUCCAGGUGAGUGGGCAGUUUUGUUUUCGUAUUACCUUUAUACUAUAAAUUUUUCCCAGAAGAUGAAUUUAUACGAAAUUAUGUUUUGAAAAUGCCAUGCAUAGAAUUAUUUGGAAAAGGUGAAUUUCACAUGAGUUAUAUGAUUGAUAUAUGAUGCAUACAUGUUGCAUGGUGCUGUGGAGGCACAGGUAAGUCAGGUGAGUUCAUUAUUCAUUUAAUUGAUUGUUGAUAAGAUGUUUCAAGCUCAUAACCUGCACCCUAGGUGUUAGUGCUUAUUUUAUUCACCACACCGCACGCUCGCCUUGGAUCCAAGUAGGUGGAUGUCGUACAGACCAUGUGAGGGUUCCGACAUGCUAGUCGUAUAGAUCACUAGGCGUGAUUCCGACUAGUGGGUGAUCUUAGUUAUGCGCGCUGAUGAUUGAUGAGAGAAGCACUAGAGCGUAUUUUUACACCUUUCAUCGUACAGACUACCUUACGUAGUUCCGAGUGAUGUGCAGAGUAGGGCCGUAUAGGUCACUGUGGUGACUCCGGCUUAGUGAGAUAUUGAGCUAUUGAAUUAAUCGUAUAGGACCAACUGCAGGGUCUCCGAUUGAUUCCUUAUUUCACCUGAUUUAUAUUUUGAUUUAUGGCAUGGCAUGUUUUUCUUGAAAAAUGUUAAAGAUUUGGGAUUCAAGUUUUGAGAUUUCAUAUGGUUAUAUAUAUAUAUUUUUCUGAAAAGUGUUAAAGGUUUGAGAUUUGAGAUUUUUGCUUAUAUAUAUGUUUAUAUAUAUGCUAUUUUCUGGGAAAGUAUACAGGUUUUACGGUGAGGGGUUAGAAAUAUUUUAAAUGAAAAGUUUUCGAAAAACUUUGUUUUACUGACCCACUCAAUUUUGUUUUGCGCCCUCCAGGUUCAAGUUAGCAGAGCUUUGGUGGCCACGAGGAAUCCAACGGUGUUCUGACAGAAUUCACAAAAGUAGGACUCACCCUCGGGUGUGUCAUCUUAGUAAUUGGAAAUUUUUUUUAAAGCUUCUGAACUAUGUAAAUGGUUACGUCACUCUCACGUGACGGCCAGCACGCCCUCCUUCGGGACGGGGUGUGUCAUUAAGUCUAGUUGUUAUAAUGCUCAUCCGACUAUUAACUGAGCCUUUGCUUUGAAUUCGGUAUUAAGCCAAGUUUAGCAUUUUAAUAGUAUAAUUAUAAUAAUAAAGUACCUUGAAUAUGGAAGUCAUCAACAACUAAAGCACACACUUGUUUAAUUUGUAUGAACACUGUAUAUUAUUGUUUUUGUAGACCCUGUCAACCACAACCAGUAAGAAUAUAUUAUCCUAGACACCUAACUAUAACUAGCAUAAAAAGAAGAUUAGCCUAUAUUUCUAACUAUAACUAGCAUAACAAGAAUCUGAAGAAGCAGAAGUGUUUCUCUUGGUUAGCUUGAACAUCCUUCAUUUAUUAAUAAAUAUAAAAACACAAAAGUGCAACAUAAUGUACUAGCAGCAAAAAGAGCAACAGAUCAUACUUUAAAGAUGUUGAGAAAAAAAAAAGAGAGUUAUUAGCUAUAACAUUAAAAAAAAAAUUUAAUUUACUUGAAUACAAUGAAUUUACUUGAAUGUUUUUACACCAGGCCAAACAAAAUCUGAAAAAUAAAGUAAUAGAAACAACAAACAUUUGUUGACAAUUUCAUCUUCCUCAAAAGACUUGCUUCUCAUAAACAACUUCAUCUUUCUCUACUCCCUAUAAAAAAUACAUGAAUCCAGUUGGUGCAACGUUUAGCUCAAUAUUCACCACAUUUAUUUAGGGCACACUAGUACAAAAAAUACUUUGCGCGACGUAGGCCCUUCGUCUCGCAAAGUCAAAAAACGUCGCGCAAAACUUAGCCCAACGAACCUUCAUCGCGCACCAACAGUUGUGUGACAAAGAAGUGCCCUGCGUCACACAGAGUGGUUUUGCGCGAUGCAGGUCCCUACGUCGUGCAAAACUACUUUGCGAGAUGCAGGUCCCAUGUCGCGCAAAACCACCUUGAGCGACGUUGGGACUUGCGUUGCGCAAACCCUUGUUUAUUUUUUUUUUGGCAAAUAUAUUUUUAUUUAAUUUUUAAUAAAUAUUGUAAUUAAAUUCUAAACAAUAAUUAAUAAACCAAGAAAAAGUAUUUAAUUAUAAAAUAUAUGAAAAUGUACAUACAAGAUGUCUGAACAAAAAAGAAAAAACUACAAUAAGUAGUUUUCUAGGUUUAAUACAUCAUGCUACUGGGUAUCGACUGGGCAAAGUGGCUGGGAGGUCGAAGGUGGAGCAACAUCAAGUACUGGCAUUGGGACAUAGAGGUGCGAAAUAGAUAAGCACACAAAUUAAACCCUCUUUUUGUCAAAUCGUAGUAAAGAUGUAAGUAGGGAUCGUUCUAGACCGGGGAUUAGGAGGGAUUGCUAAACACUUGAAAACUGACUUCAAAACAUGAAAACAAAGUUUAAAACACUAAGCUAGACUCAAAGAAUGCAAAACUAAAGUUAAAAACACUUAAACAAACCUAAAACUCAAAACAGCAACCUAAUGACUCAAAACUGCCUAAAAACCACUUUCUGGGCAGUUUUGAGAACCUAACAAGAACUUGGACGAAUUUGGGUGAAAACUUGAAUCAAAACACUUAGAAACACAAAUCAAAACAUAUUCUAACUAAUCUACGACUUCAAAAAUAAAAGGGGAUUUGUUUUGGACGAAAAUUGAAAAACAAACAGAAACUUUAAAACAAAACAGAUUGUAAAACGUUUUUGGAUGAAAAGGAUGGAUAAAAGGCUAGUUAGGAGGUUCUUCUCCACACAUGUCACACUUGCAAACAAAAACGAUUUUCAGUUGUUCUUCCAAUAAAUUAUGAAUACUCAACGCCCCAAAUUAACCGUGAAUUGCACUAAUUAACCCUCAGUUUUUCCACAAGUUAUUGAGUUGGAUGAUUGCAUACGACAACCCAAAACAUUCCUUACAAGUUCCCUACAUGAAUUGCAUAAUAGAGAUACAAGCAAGAAUCAUUAAGUUCUAUGAAAAACAUAAGCAUUGACGAAGCAUUCGUUACUAUGAAUUGCAUGAAACUUAUGCCAAGAAUUCAUUCAACGUGAUCGUUUUCAAGCGACCUUCACUACUUGUGAUUAUAAGAUUGUAACUAUUAGGUGAAACUCCCUCAUAAUCUAGCAUCAUAUUCAUGCAUGAAAACUAAGCGUGCACUCUCAAUCAACAUACACAAAUAAGUAUCAAUCAAAUAGAUGAACGAAUUGAAUCCACAACUUAUGAAAUAACAACUGAAUGUAAUCAAAUCAUAUUGCAAGCAUGUACAUGGUUUCGAAUUCCCCCCCUAACCAAGGGGGGUUUAGUUCCUCAUUCUCACAACACAAAGAGUAUCAAAAUUAAACAUAGAAAUCAAAGGAAAGACAACACCUAAAACGUUCCAGCAACCCUUAAUUGAAUGGCAUGAAUGUCCCAAGCUUUCUCUCCUCCUCUUGGCUGCGGCACAAGGACUAGAGACAGGUUCUAGGGGUUAUUUGGAUGGAUGAGUAGGUAAGGAAUGAUAUGGUAGUGUUUUGGGGACAUGGGGGUUGCGGCAAAGUAUGGAAAAAUGGCAGAUUGGUGGAGGAAGGUUGCGGCAAAGUGUGAUGGAUGUGUUUGACAAAUUUCUGAAUUGUGGAGGGGGCAUAUCUGCGGCAAGGCUAAGAACACAUAUAUAUAGGCACCAUAAACCCUAGGGAAAUCAGGUUUAAGCAAUGGGCUAAGGUUUAGAUGCGGCAAAGGGCUAAAAGUCCACCAGAAAAUAAAGUUUUUAGAAAGCCUUGCAAGGCAAGGGGUCCAAAUCUGAAAAGGAUUGGGCUUAUGGUGUGGCAAUGUCCAAGAAUGUAAGGAUGGGUCAUCUAGAAGCCCAAAGCCAAGAAUAGAAACUCUCACAAAUGGAAACCUCCAAGAAUAGAAACUUCCAACUUUAGAAACUUUGGGUUCUAAUUCUGAAUUCUUUGUUCUUCACUUUCAUUUCUUCAUUUCUUAAGCUCCCUUUGACCUUCAACUCGUCCAUUCCUUGUGCUCCAUAAGUAAAAACGCCAUUUGAGCUCAAUUAUGCUCCAUUUUGCACUUCCUUGCAUACUUUGUCUCUAAAACCUGAAAACAUAUAAAACUAGCUUAAAAGACUACGUUAACUAAGAAAACACCAUGGAAAUGCAUAAGAACUAGCUAACUAAGGCGCAUAAAUAUGCUCCUAUCAAAUUCCCCCACACUUAGCUUUUGCUAGUCCUCGAGCAAAACAAACAAAAGAAAGGAAACAAAAUGAAACAAAUUAACCAAAACAAACCUAAACCUUCCAACGUUUGCCUCAGGGAUUUCCAAUGCACAUGACAUGUUAAAGAUUGUUAUCCCCACAGAUUUGAGUCGUCUUUACACAAGCACGUACUUAAUUAAAGCCACUACUUACUAGUUCACAAGUAAUCAAUUAAAACAAUGCUUUGAAUGUAGUAACAUGCCUUAGAGAAUUCCCUCAAUUCCUUACAAGAUAUACACUCUAUUUUCACUCAGAUUUUCUAACUACACACCCUACACUAGUCAUAUGUGAGAAGAUUGAUGUAGAUAUGAAAACGAAUGCUCACAUAUAUGUAUCACAAAGAACGCAAUUUCUAGAGUUAAGAAGCAUGUUUAGAUAUGAUCUCAUGAAUGGAAUGCUACUACUUAGAUGCGAGAACCAGUGACACCAUAUGCUCAUACCAAAUUCAAACUCCACAAAUUGAAAUACACAACACUCAAGAUAGAAGUUAAGGGUUGUAACGGGGCUUGGGGUGUUGGUUAACAAGGAAAGGAUAGGGAAAACAAACGUUCUUCAAGCAAUAGUAAGCAAAGCAAUGAAAUUGAGACUUAGAAUUCACUUAAAUUGCAGAAAUUAACUUUAAAACACCAGGGGAAGACUUAAACAACUCCUUAGGGCCGAAUUCAUUGUUUUGGACCCUUACUUCAACAAACAAUACUUUGGAACUCUUUUUCUCAACUUUUCAACUCUUUUUUUUUUUCAAACUUUUCAUACUUUUUUCUUCAAUUUUCUUUUUCCACGAAAUUUUUUUUUCUUUUCUUUUCUUUGUCGUGCCUAUGGCACACAAUUCCUCACGAAAAAAAAUACUUCCCCCACACUUGGUUUCUGCCAACAUAGAUCAAAAGGAAUUCAAUUCGAAUCAUGCUUUACUAUGCUUUAAGAACACGGGUAUGGAUGGUCCUAAACUAGGCUAGGUGAGGAUAAUGUGGGUUAACAACAACAUAGGCUAAACAAGGCUCAACGGGGUUAAACUUAAACAUAAAAUGAUAUGGGAUACACGGCAGUUUGGCUAAGGUGGUGGUAACUACACAACUUUAUCUUGAAUAUGUGUUAUGCAAAUCAAUAACAUGCUUUGAAUGAAAUGGUCAUGAGUUCUAGCAUUUGGAACUAAAUGAUGAAACGCCUUCUAAGUAGCAACCAAGCAAGGAAUAAUGAGAUCAUGCAACGACUUAGAAAACAAAGAAUGCACAGAUUUUAACUCUCCAAAUAACCGUUUAGGCUCAAGUCUCACAAGGUUGUAGCGUUUGUUUGAGUUCCUUCCUUCAAGCAUGUUACAAAAACUGAUUUUUCCUUUAUGAUUGCAUGUGAAUUCAUAAGUUAUAACCACAACCAAGCAUAAACAAAGAGUAAAUCAAACUUUCAUCCAUGUUAAUCACUCUCUUUAACAGUCAUGCAAUUAAAAACCAAAUCCUCAUCAUUGUGUUGGAAGGUACCCUAAGACACAAACAAACACACAAAAACAACGCUUUUUGGGUUUUUAAAACAAAUUUUUCAAAUUUUUAUGUGAUUUUCGGAUUUUUACUUCAAAACACACUAAAACACACCAAAACUGCUCAAAAACACUUAAAAACAGCAAGGAACAAGUCUCCAAGUUAAGGGUGAUAAAAUCCCACGAAUUUGCAUCUAAAACACUUAGUUACCCCCCCACACUUAAAUCAAACAUUGUCCUCAAUGUUUCAAGCAUAAAAUCACACUAAACAAAAAGAAACACACAAACAGCAACUAAAACAACUAAAUAGGCAGAUUCGAAAUAAAUAACAAAGUGAAGAGUUUAGGAACGCAAAUCUGGAAUUGGAGUAAUUCCUUGGUCUUCCUUUGUUGUAUUGCAUGGGUUGCCUCCCAAGGAGCGCUUUCUUUAACGUCGUACAGCCGGACGAAAAGCCCAUUCAUUCUCCUUUUGUGCCCACGGCACCCAAAGAAAUAUCAUCCACGGUUUGUUCAACAAAGUUCUCAUAAUAUGGCUUCAAACGGUGUCCGUUCACUUGGAAUUCAUGACCUGUUUUGAGACUUUGAAUCUGGAUGGCACCAUAAGAAGAUACGUUAGUAAUAACAAACGGUCCAAUCCACUUAGAACGUAACUUACCGGGAAACAAACGUAAACGGGAAUUGAACAAUAGCACUUUCUGCCCAAUUGAGAAUGAUUUCCCACGGAUCAUGUUGUCAUGGAAAGCUUUGGUCUUUUGCUUGUAAAUGCUUGCAUUAUCGUACGCCUCGUGCCGUAUCUCAUCAAGCUCAUUCAAUUGCAAUCUCCUUUGACUUCCUGCUUCCUCGAGGUUCAUGUUAAACUUCUUGAUGGCCCAAAGUGCUUUGUGCUCCAAUUCAACAGGAAGAUGGCACGCCUUGCCAUAGACAAGUCGGAAGGGGGACAUCCCAAUGGGGGUUUUGUACGCCGUACGAUACGCCCAAAGUGCAUCAUCUAACUGUAAGCUCCAAUCCUUCCGUGUUGGCCCAACGGUCUUCUCAAGUAUUUGCUUGAUCUCUCGGUUGGAAACCUCGGCUUGGCCAUUCGUUUGAGGAUGGUAAGGUGUAGAAACCUUAUGGGUGACACUGUAUUUCCUCAAUAACGCUUCAAUGGUCCGAUUGCAAAAGUGUGACCCUCCAUCACUAAUGAUCACUCGUGGCAUUCCGAACCUUGCAAAAAUGUUAGUUCUAAUAAAAUCUGCAACCACUUUAGAAUCAUUAGUCCGGGUGGCCUUGGCUUCCACCCAUUUCGACACAUAAUCAACCGCAAGCAAAAUAUACAUGAAACCAUAUGAUGAAGGGAAGGGACCCAUAAAAUCAAUACCCCAAACAUAAAAAAUUUCAACAUUUAGGAUAGAAACCUGCGGCAUUUGGUCCUUUGCACUAAUACCACCCAUUCGUUGGCAUUUAUCACAUGUUAAGCAAAAAGUUUUAGCAUCUUUAAAAAUACUAGGCCAAUAGAAUCCACAUUGUAACACCUUGAGGGCUGUGCGUUGUGUGCCAAAGUGCCCUCCACAUGCAUAUGUGUGACAAAAACUCAAAAUUGAAUGACAUUCAUAAUCGUGCACACAACGACGUAUAAUCUGAUCAGGGCAAAAUUUCCAUAAGUACGGAUCAUCCCACACAUAAAACCGUGCAUCAUGCCUAAGUUUAUCACGUUGGUGCCUAGUGAACUCACUUGGAAUACGUUUUGACACCAAAAAAUUAACAAUAUCGGCAUACCAAGGCGCACUAACCUUAAUGGACAGCAAUUGUUCAUCGGGGAAUGUCUCCAAAAUCGGCAAAGACUCCUCAUUAUGCACCAUUCGGCUUAGGUGGUCAGCCACCACGUUUUCACUUCCCUUCUUGUCCCGAAUCUCUAUGUCGAACUCUUGAAGUAGCAAUAUCCAUCGAAUUAGCCGUGGCUUGGCCUCUUUUUUGGUGAGCAAGUACUUCAGAGCUGCAUGAUCAGUGAAAACAAUUACUUUAGUUCCAAUUAGAUAUGAUCGAAAUUUAUCUAAAGCAAAGACAACGGCAAGGAGUUCUUUUUCCGUAGUGGAGUAGUUCAAUUGUGCAUCGUUCAACGUCCGUGAGGCAUAGUAAAUGACAUGCGGCCUCUUGUCCUUUUCUUUGUCCUAAAACAGCUCCUGAAGCAUAGUCGGACGCAUCACACAUGAGCUCGAACGGUAGACUCCAAUCCGGUGGAACAAUGAUGGGUGCCGUGGUCAACAACUCCUUGAGUUGGUUGAAUGAUGCCGUGCACUCCUUGGUGAAUUCAAACGCCACUUCUUUUUGUAGGAGUCGACAAAGAGGUUGUGCUAUCUUCGAGAAAUCUUUGAUAAACCUAUGAUAAAAUCCUGCAUGGCCAAGAAACGAACGAACCUCUCUAACCGAAGUCGGAGAGGGUAAGUGACGUACAAGAUCUAUUUUCGACUUAUCAACCUCAAUACCCUUUUCAGAGAUUAUAUGACCUAAAACGAUGCCUUGUUUAACCAUAAAAUGACACUUUUCCCAAUUAAGAACAAGGUUAGUUUCAACACAAUGUUUUAGGAUCAAACUUAGAUUAUGCAAGCAACUAUCAAACAAAUCACCAAAUACACUAAAAUCAUCCAUAAACACUUCAAUUAUCUUUUCUACGUAAUCAGAAAAUAUGCUCAUCAUGCAUCUUUGAAAUGUAGCAGGUGCAUUACAUAAACCAAAAGGCAUGCGACGAUAUGCAAAUGUACCAAACGGGCAUGUAAAAGUGGUUUUUUCUUGGUCCUCGGGUGCAAUGACAAUUUGAUUAUAACCAGAAUAACCAUCAAGAAAACAAUAAAAAGCAUAACCCGCUAACCUCUCAAGCAUUUGGUCAAUGAACGGCAAUGGGAAGUGGUCAUUCCUCGUGGUGGUGUUUAGCUUCCUAUAGUCAAUGCACACCCUCCAACUGGUUUGAAUACGUUGAGGGACAAGCUCAUUCUCGGCAUUAGCUACCACCGUCACUCCGGAUUUCUUUGGUACGCAUUGAACGGGCAAAACCCACCUACUAUCUGAGAUUGGAUAGAUAACCCCACAAUCUAGAAGCUUUAUGAUCUCAUUUUUCACAACUUCCAUCAUAGGAGGGUUGAGACGGCGUUGAGCCUCUCGAGUUGGUUUGGCCCCCUCCUCAAGAAAUAUGUGAUGCAUACAAGUCGUAGGGCUUAUACCUUUGAUGUCGGCCAAUGUCCAACCUAAGGCAGAUUUGAAUUCCUUCAAGACGCGCACUAGUUCUCCUCUUCUUAUGCCGUGAGGGAGGGAGGAAAUGAUGGCAGGUAGUGUUUCAUUUUCUCCCAAGAAAAUGUACUUCAAAUGGCUUGGCAAAGGCUUGAGUUCAAGGAUAGGUGCCUGAAUUAUGGAUGGAAGCAAUUUGUUAGUCGAAAUGGGAAUGGACUCACGGUUAGUAUACUUACCAUCAAGCUUAGGUGAGGACUCAAGGGCAGCCACAACUUCAAUUAGUUCUUCACUAGGGGCCACGGCAUGGCCUAGUCCAUGUAUGCCGUGGGUUACACUAGAAUCUGCCCCCUUGGUUUUGAGUUCCAUGCCUCGUGUAAUGACUUUUUCAAGCGCAUCGUCAUUCAAAUCGUCGAGAUAUCCCUGCGCCAAAGAGUCAAUUAUAUCAAUAGAGAAACAUGAAUGGUCCUCACUAGGGUAUUUAAUGGAAUCAGAAAGAUUAAAAUUAACAACUUCCCCAUCGAAUUCCAUGGACAAAGUUCCACUAUACACAUCAAUCUUUGUCCGGGCCGUCUUCAUGAAUGGCCUUCCAAGUAGAAUGGGCAGCAAAGGAGCAUCAUGGUCCGAUUCAUCCAUUUCGAGGACAUAGAAAUCCGCCGGGAAGACUAAAUGAUUAACCUGCACAAGAACAUCUUCCAAAACUCCCUUUGGAUAGGCGUUAGAUCUAUCGGCCAAUUGUAUUAUUACCCCAUCAUUUUUCAAUGCUCCUAAGUUCAUAGAUGCAUAAAUGGAAUAUGGCAUAACAUAUAUAGAAGCACCUAAAUCAAGCAUGGCAGAUUCAAAUCUAGUGCUCCCAAUGACACAAGGAAUGGUAAAGCUACCUGGAUCUUUGCAUUUGGGAGGUAGUUUGCGUUGCAAGAUGGCGGACACAUUCUCACCUACCUUUACCACUUCCUUAGUUGACAUCCUCUUCCUAGUGGUACACAACUCCUUCAAGAACUUAGCAUACCUCGGAACUUGCUUGAUUGCAUCUAACAAAGGGUAUGUUAACUUGAACUUUCCUAAAGGUUUCAAGGAUAUCCUUUUCUGCCUCUUCUUUCUUCGUUUGCAUGAACCUACUAGGAAAAGGCACAUUUGAAGGGAAAACAUUAGUAUGAACUGAAUUGGACACAUUCUUACCCUUAUUGGCCGAAUUGGACAGAUUUGGGGCCUUAGGGACUUGCGGCAAAGGUGGAACCACCUUUGCCGUGGGCAUGCUUGAUUCCUCCUCUUCAAUUAGCACAUUUACAUCACUUUUGAGAGACCUGUUUGUGAUGGUGUGUAGAACCUGCCCCAAUCUCUUUUCCACUUCUCAAGAGUAUUGCCUUUGCACUUUCGAAACCUCCCUUCGGAUUUGGAAUGGUAGAACUAGGGAGUUGUCCGGGAUCUCGAAACUUACCUACAAACUCGGCAAUCUGCCCAAUUUGUUUCUCAAGUUGAUCCACCCUUUUGUCUUGGUUUUGCAUAGCCUUAGCUUGAUCUUCCUGCCCAUUAGACAACUUGGUUAGUAUCUUAAGAAGUGCAUCAUUGUCAAGAGACGUACCUGAGGCACUUGGGCCGGAUUGGGCUUGAUUUUGGGGUGGGCCGUAGGUUUUGGGAAAGAACCCCGGGGGUUGUUGCCUAAAGCCUCAUUGGUUUUGAGGUUGUUGGGGCUCCCUCCACUUGAAAUUUGGGUGGUCUCUCCAACCGGGAUUAUAUGUGUUUGAAUAUGGAUCGUUCCUUGGUUGGUUUUGCCCUUGAAACCCAAUUGCAUGUGCGCUUUCCCAUCCACCAUUUUCAAUCAACUGUGGACACUUUUAAGAGACAUGUCCUUAGAUGGAACAUACGCCACAUACAAUUGGUCCUUGCAUCUUCAUGCCCUCGGCCAUCUAAGACACAAGAGAAGUAAGAUUAGCCAAUUGUGAGUGAAGAUCGGAAGUUGUACUUACCUCAUGUACUUGGUGCCGUGGGGGUCCCCUUUGGCCUACUCCCUCAUAUUGUUGAGCGUUCAACGCUCGGUUAGAGAUCAAGAUCUUGGCAGCCAUGGGUGUUUUGUCCACCAAUGCUCCCCCCGCCGAAGCAUCAAGCAUUUGACGUUCUAGAGAGGUAGGAGACCCUCGUAGAAAUAUUGCAAAAGCAACUCCUCCUUCAUCUGAUGCUGUGGACAAGAAGCAACAAGUGAUUUAAAUCGUUCAUAAUAUGUAGGAAAAGACUCACCCUUCUUCUUGCUGAAUUCGGCUUAUCUUUUUGCGUAGGAGGAUGAUGCGAGAAGUUGGAAAGAACUUCUCCAAGAACGCUCUCUUCAUACUCUCCCAAGAAGUUACAGUGCCGGGAGCUAACUCGUAUAACCAAUCCUUGGCUUUAUCCAUCAAAGAGAAUGGAAAAGCCUUCAUCUUCAAGAUAUAUCCGUCAACAUUGACGGGAGUUAUCCUAGAGCAAACCACUUCAAAUUCUUUCAAAUGUUUGUUAGGAUCUUCCAUGGACAAGCCAUGGUAUUUAGGAAUAUGAUGAAGCAAACUUGACUUUAAUUCAAACUCGUCUGUCUUACCUUGGGCGGCCGUGGGGUAUUGGAUGCACAAGGGUGCGGCAUUAUCCAAACCUGAGGCGGAAAGCUCUUUGAGUGUACGGUUGUCCACCACCAUGCCUUGGACUUCUUCAAAUAUUCCCUGCCGUGGUCUCCUCCUCUUCUUGUACGGUUUCUUCAAGGUCAGAUUCGGAAUUGGGCGGAUGGUGUUCUUGCUCUGGUUUCUAGCUCUUCUUUCCUCUCAAAGUCGUCGUCAAAAUCCAAGAUGUUCGCAUGAUGAAUCGUUUGAGAGCUUCUAGUCAUACACUAGUACCUAAGAAACAAGAAACAAAUUUAGGUCAGAAACUUAAACAAAAUCAGAAACAAAGUGAAAUAAAAGAAACAAAAACAAUCCAAGGGAUUAGCAAAAUUGCUAAUCCCCGGCAACGGCGCCAAAAAUUUGAUGCGAAAUAGAUAAGCACACAAAUUAAACCCUCUUUUUGUCAAAUCGUAGUAAAGAUGUAGUAGUAGGGAUCGUUCUAGACCGGGGAUUAGGAGGGAUUGCUAAACACUUGAAAACUGACUUCAAAACAUAAAAACAAAGUUUAAAACACUAAGCUAGACUCAAAGAAUGCAAAACUAAAGUUAAAAACACUUAAACAAACCUAAAACUCAAAACAGCAACCUAAUGACUCAAAACUGCCUAAAACCACUUUCUGGGCAGUUUUGAGAACCUAACAAGAACUUGGACGAAUUUGGGUGAAAACUUGAAUCAAAACACUUAGAAACACAAAUCAAAACAUAUUCUAACUAAUCUACGACUUCAAAAUAAAAGGGGAUUUGUUUUGGACGAAAAUUGAAAACAAAACAGAAACUUUAAAACAAAACAGAUUGUAAAACGUUUUUGGAUGAAAAGGAUGGAUAAAAGGCUAGUUAGGAGGUUCUUCUCCACACAUGUCACACUUGCAAACAAAACGAUUUUCAGUUGUUCUUCCAAUAAAUUAUGAAUACUCAACGCCCCAAAUUAACCGUGAAUUGCACUAAUUAACCCUCAGUUUUUCCACAAGUUAUUGAGUUGGAUGAUUGCAUACGACAACCCAAAACAUUCCUUACAAGUUCCCUACAUGAAUUGCAUAAUAGAGAUACAAGCAAGAAUCAUUAAGUUCUAUGAAAAACAUAAGCAUUGACGAAGCAUUCGUUACUAUGAAUUGCAUGAAACUUAUGCCAAGAAUUCAUUCAACGUGAUCGUUUUCAAGCGACCUUCACUACUUGUGAUUAUAAGAUUGUAACUAUUAGGUGAAACUCCCUCAUAAUCUAGCAUCAUAUUCAUGCAUGAAAACUAAGCGUGCACUCUCAAUCAACAUACACAAAUAAGUAUCAAUCAAAUAGAUGAACGAAUUGAAUCCACAACUUAUGAAAUAACAACUGAAUGUAAUCAAAUCAUAUUGCAAGCAUGUACAUGGUUUCGAAUUCCCCCCUAACCAAGGGGGGUUUAGUUCCUCAUUCUCACAACACAAAGAGUAUCAAAAUUAAACAUAGAAAUCAAAGGAAAGACAACACCUAAAACGUUCCAGCAACCCUCAAUUGAAUGGCAUGAACGUCCCAAGCUUUCUCUCCUCCUCUUGGCUGCGGCACAAGGACUAGAGACAGGUUCUAGGGGUUAUUUGGAUGGAUGAGUAGGUAAGGAAUGAUAUGGUAGUGUUUUGGGGACAUGGGGGUUGCGGCAAAGUAUGGAAAAAUGGCAGAUUGGUGGAGGAAGGCUGCGGCAAAGUGUGAUGGAUGUGUUUGACGAAUUUCUGAAUUGUGGAGGGGGUCAUAUCUGCGGCAAGGCUAAGAACACAUAUAUAUAGGCACCACAAACCCUAGGGAAAUCAGGUUUAAGCAAUGGGCUAGGGUUUAGGUGCGGCAAAGGGCUAAAAGUCCACCAGAAAAUAAAGUUUUUAGAAAGCCUUGCAAGGCAAGGGGUCCAAAUCUGAAAAGGAUUGGGCUUAUGGUGCGGCAAUGUCCAAGAAUGUAAGGAUGGGUCAUCUAGAAGCCCAAAGCCAAGAAUAAAAACUCUCACAAAUGGAAACCUCCAAGAAUAGAAACUUCCAACUUUAGAAACUUUGGGUUCUAAUUCUGAAUUCUUUGUUCUUCACUUUCAUUUCUUCAUUUCUUAAGCUCCCUUUGACCUUCAACUCGUCCAUUCCUUGUGCUCCAUAAGUAAAAACGCCAUUUAAGCUCAAUUAUGCUCCAUUUUGCACUUCCUUGCAUACUUUGUCUCUAAAACCUGAAAACAUAUAAAACUAGCUUAAAAGACUACGUUAACUAAGAAAACACCAUGGAAAUGCAUAAGAACUAGCUAACUAAGGCGCAUAAAUAUGCUCCUAUCAGGAGGUCGAAGGUGGAGCAACAUCAAGUACUGGCAUUGGGACAUAGAGGUCGGACAUCGCUAAAGCCUGUACAAUCAUACUCAUUUGCUCACCCUGGGUCCACAUCUGCUCACCCUGGGCCGCAAGCUGACCUUUUAGGGUUGUCACUUUCUCCUUGAGGGCAUUGACCUCUGUUGUGGACGAUUUGGAAGAGGAGGCACCCGUCUCAUGAACCAUCGCCUUCCCCAUACACCGAACAGCCUUGCCAUGAUGACUACCGAACUUCUGAUCCAAGACCUCAGUCACGAUCUAAAGACUUGCAUCCUUGGGUACAAUGACGUCCUCGAUCGGGGUCUCCAGGGGAAGCUACGAUAUUGCUUCUUGGAGAACAGCAGUGCACAUUGGUCACACACCGACGAUGAGUGAUCAACUGUGACAUCUAUACACUUUUUGAACCAUAGAAAUAUAACAUUAGAAACUAAUCCUUUCUUGCAUUUGAAAUUAAUCAAUUAGUAGCCAAAGUAAUAAUAUAAGUAAGUAGGUUACCAACAUUCUUAAUUUGAAGAGAGGAACUACCUAUCCAUUUUCAUAACCAACAAAAAAAGUGCAUCAAGUGAAACAAAAAAGAAUGGGUAAUCCGACAUUGGGAAUCUAUGAUAAAUUUUAAAGAUUAUUUAAAUCAUUAUUUAUAACAACUAAAACUUGUUUUAGGAUGCCCAAUAAACACUCGAGUAAGCAGACAUUGUAAUCAAUCAAUGGUACCAAAACUUCAUUACACUAAUUGAUAUGAUCAAAGUACCGUACAAAAACAGUUUACUUCGUACAAGCCAUUCAACCGAACACAUGACCAUAGAGACUGACUAGUAAGCAGGUAGGAAGGUAAGAGAAGCAACUGAUGCUCUUAGGGGAUUUAAAUCCCAUAAUGUUAAGUCGAGAUCUAAACACCUUGAGAAAUGCAUGUUCAAGUUCCAAUAACCAGCAGAAGAUAGCUUGCAUAGUUCACCAGGAACCAACUAUGUUAGUUCCUAUACAGUCUAAGUCUAAUCAAUGAGAUUCACAAUUAUUCUAGGGAAGAAGUUAGAAUCGAUAUGCAUGGAUGCAACAAAUAUUCAUGUUAAUUAUAUAUACGUAUACAUUUAUUAUGAAGAUCGACCUGGGUUUUUUAGCCCAACAAAGAGGGCCAAAUGGGAUGAACGAAAAGCUGUUGAAGGUAAUAAUACCUAGAAAUUAUUACAUUACAAAAACCCUACCGAUUUAUUUAAGCAUGCAUUCAAAUUUGAAAGUAUAAAGAGUGAUUUUAUACUGAUGAGCUUGUUGACGUUCUCUGACAUAAGUGGGUCUAAUAUGUCAAUUUUUUAUUCUAAAUAGUUUAAUUGAAACAUAAGAUAGUACUGUUGCUAAACUGUAUGUGUUACUAAUCAGGGAAGAACAAAGAAGAAGCAAUGGCUAAAUACAUCACAAAGGUGAAGCAGCUGCAACAACAAGAAGUAGCCUCCACAUAGAUCAUACAACAUUAAUGGAGUGCUAUAUCUAUAUCUUAAACAUUUCCUAAGUGUUUCAAGAAGAAAACACAUACCAGAAUGUAAUAAAUCAAUAAUUUUCAAUUUCCACAGCUUCUGCUUUAUAAUUAAGUCAUGAUGUACUGCACUUAUGAGUAGAAAUGUUUUUCAAAUAAGAGCUCUAAACAAGCUGUUGUCCAUAGAUUUGAACUUAGUUGUCCCUAGAUUUGAACUGAAGGAUUCUUCAAAUAAUGGAGAUGCAAAUCCCAUAAACUAGGGCUUUGAGGCUCUAAUGACUUGGUUUACAAAGAAUGAGAUAUAAACCUAGAAUCUACAGAUUCGCAUAGUAAUUGAUUACGUUUGUAUACUGAGACUUACUUCAGAGACUAAAAACAUAAGAUCCAUAGAAUAUCAAGAAUCAUAAGAUCCAUAGUCCCAAUAUUUAGCAAUGGUAAAAAAGAAAAAAAUGUGUCGAGGAAUCCUAUAAACUUUACAAACUAGUAAAAAUCUGCCUCUUGUUGACAACCAAAGACAAAAGUGAGAACAAACAUCCAGUUUAUUUUCAUUACCAACGAACACACCAUGUUUAAUCAAGUGAAAUGUUCAUCUGACUGUAAAUGUGGACAAGGAAAUGCUCAACUGAUAAAACAGAAUGGAAUUUGGGGUAUGCCUAUGUGUAUCCAGCAGCUAAACAUUAUCUAUACAUUUCCUCCAAGCAUUUGAGUCAAAUACUGUAAAUUCUAACAAGAAAAUGACACACAUAAUAUUAUAAUUAGAAAGAAAAAAAUUGAGGACAUUCAAAGAAGAAAAGAGUGAAGGAAUAGAACCAAGUCCUCGAGCAAUAUGCUAACCUGGGUCAAUACUUGCUAGCUGGCUGGGAAUUGAAAGUCUAUACCCAAAUUGCUUCAAACUACAAACAAGGAACAACAACAAUGAAAUUCUUAAACCCUGAAAUUCAGCCCAUUUCCUAAUAAUUUAUCCCAACUAAAAACCCUGAUUCAAUCCCCAUUUCAAAAUUAAAACCCUAAUUCCCAUUUAAAAAAAUUUAAACCCUGAAUCCAUCACAUGCCCUAGUAAUUUAUCCCAAAUUAAAACCCUAGAUUCUAAAAUUCAUCUCAAUCCUCAAUCAAAAUCCUUAAUUUCACAAUUUCACAAUUUGUAAUUAGACUUACUUUCAAGGAGAGAUACGAGCAUGACGAAGGGGUAGUGGCUGCUCGUCGUUUAGAAUGAGAGGGAUAGAGACAACCGAGAAAGUAGUGGUGGUGGUUGGAUUUGAGAUUGUGAAGAGGAAAGAGAGGUCUGGGUUCAAGAUUUAGGGUUCGAGCUUGCGAAGAGGAGAUAGAGGUCUGAGUUCAAAAAAAAAAAAAAAAAAGAUAAGGAGGAAGGCUACGAGAGAGGAUGAGGAGGGUGGGAGAGAGAGGGAGAGAGAGGGCGAGAUGAGCAAGAGGAAAGAGAGAGACUGAGUGAGAGAGUUCAGGUGUGGGAAACUUUUGUCUAAACUUUGGAAAAUUUAAAAAGAGCGCCCAUUUGCACCGCCAAAAUUAUCCCAAAUUGCGCGAAGUAGGUUUGCAUUUUGACGUUGUGCAAAGUGUUUUUGUGCAAUGAUGGCAUUAUGGCGUCGCGCAAGGUAUCUUUUUUAUUUAUUUAUAAUUUUAUAAAAUUUACUGAAAAUGUGACUUUACUCUCUUCAAAUUCAAUUUUUUUUUACAUAAAACCCACAAUAAUUGACACACCCCGUCCCAAAGGAGGGCAUGGAUCGAUCUACGUAGUGACGUAUUUUAUAUAAGUUAUAUAUUCUAUCGAUAUGAUUUCUGAGGUUGGAUUUGAUUAUUGUUCUAGGCACCGAUCGUCAUGAUGCCUUGAUGUGUGGUGCUAGGGAGUUGCUGGGCGAACUCCAAGUGAGUGGGCAGUAUUUCUGUUUAUACCUAUAUACUACUGAUAUUUUUCCCAGAAAUUGAAUUUAAAUGAAGGUACGUUUUAAAAUGUCAUGCAUGCAUAUUAUGAGAUAUAUGAAUUGAUAAUUGAUGCAUAUAUAUAUGUGAAUUGGUGUUGUGGACGCACAUGUGAGUAUCAGGUGAGUUUUAUGUUAUUCAUGUGAAUCAUUGAUGAUGUGAAUUGUGUUGAGAGCUCAUAACCUGCACCCCUGGUGUUAGUGCUUAUAUUAUUCACCGCACCGCACCGCACGCUCACCUUGGAUCCAAGUAGGUGCAUGUCGUACAAACCGAUAGAGGGUUCCGACAUGCGUACGCUCAGUAAGUGGUAGUCGUAAACCGUAGAGGUUCCGACAUGAGUCGUACACUAAGGUGUUCCGACUAAGUGACCUUUAGAUUAUGUGCACAGAUGAUUGAUGAGAGAAGCACUAGAGCGUAUUAUUACACCAUUCUUGUCGUACAGACUACUUCAGGUAGUUCCGACUUAUGUGCAGAGUAGCGCCGUACAGGUCACCGUGGUGACUCCGGUUGGAUUAGAUAUUGAGCUAUAGAAUUAACCGUACAGGACCAACUGCAGGGUCUCCGGUUGAUUCCUUAUUUCACCUGUUAUAUUGAUGCAUCCAUAUUCUGUUUUUGACAUUAUGACAUGGCAUACUUUAUGGUUUUGAUAAAGAUUGAUGAUUGAUGAGAUAUAUUUGAAGGUAUAUGCUAUUAUGUUAUUAUUUUCUGAAAAAGUAUAUACAGGUUUUACAGCGAGGGUUAGAAAUGUUUUAAAUGAAAUGUUUUUCGAAAAAACUUUGUUUUACUGACCCACUCAACUUUGUUUUGCGCCCCUCCAGGUUCUAGAUAGCAGAGCUUUGGUGGCCACAAGGAAUCCAACGGUUUCUGACAGAAUUCACAAAAGUAGGACUCACCCUCGGGUGUUUCAUCUUAGUAAUUGUAUCUUUAAAGCUUCCGAACUGUGUAAAUGGUUACGUCACACUCACGUGACGGCCAGCAUGCCCUCCUUCGGGACGGGGUGUGUCAAUAAUAAUCCUAACAAAAACCCGACCCGAUCUACAAUAAUAAAUUUGAACAUACUUAAUAAAUAUACAUAUCAUUCAAUUUCUUAAGUAUAUACGUACAAAAUAAAUAAAUUUAAAUCUACUUAAAAUAUAUAUACCACUGAAAUUGAUGGGAUAUGCAUUGUACAAAACUAGUUUCAAAGAUCUAACUGUCAAACUUUUUUGUAUAUACUUCGAGAUCGCAUACGCCAAAAAUCACAAAAAAUAAACAUUCAGAGAUCAAGUAAAGGGACACAAUUUUUUGAUGGUUAUAAACGAAAAAUCAUGAUUUAACGGUUAUUUUAACUCUGAUUUUGGUGAUUUUUUAUAGCAACACUCCUUGAUCCUAUAUGAAUACAAUGAAUGAAUUUGAUCUUCAAUUUAUAAUAUUUACACUAGUGGAUACCACAAAAUCUUAUGUUAUACUUAAUGAAGUAUAAAUAAGUGCUAGCGAAUCUAUCAUUUUGAUAGGGUAUGCAUUGUACGAAACUAAUUUCAACGAUCCAACCGUCAAACUCUUUUGUAUAUACUUCAAGAUCGCAUACGCCUAAAAUCGCAAAAAACAAAGAUUCAGAUCAAGUAACAGGACAAAACUUUUCGAUGGUUAUAAACAAAAAUCACGAUUUAACGAUAGUUUUAACUCCGAUUUUGAUGAUUUUUUUUAUAGAUACACUCCUUGAUCCUAUAUGAAUACAAAGAAUGAAUUCGAUCUUCAAUUUAUAAUAUUUACACUAGUGAAUACCACAAAAUCUUAUGUUAUACUUAAGUGUUAGUGAAUCUAUCAUUUUGGGGUACGCAUUGUAUGAAAACUAAUUUCAACGAUCCAACCGUUAAACCUUUUUGUAUAUACUUCGAGAUCGUGUACGCCUAAAAUCGUAAAAAACAAACAUUCAAUGAUCAAGUAAUGAGACAACUUUUCGAUAGUUAUGACAAAAAUCCGAUUAACAGUAGUUUUACUCCGAUUUUGAUAAUGUUAUAUAGUAACCCUUGAUCCUUAUGCUCACAUUAAUAAAUACUUUAUUUAUAAAAAUUAAGUUUAGUGAUGUAAAUCAUCCCAACACAUGACACACUUUAAAUGGGAUGUAACGCUCACGGAUCGGCUAGUGGUUUCAACAUUGUAGUUCAUUUUUAUGGAAGACGAAAAGACUUAUAAAGAUAUUUCAGUAUUUUUAGGCUAUCAUCAUGUGAUUCACUGAUGCCAAAAAUCAAACUCAAAACAUGCCGUGUAAAAUACAAGCUUGAAACUCCAACUUAACCACUGAGCCAAAAGAAAAAUGAGGAUUCUGGAGAUCCUCAAAUCGUGUUCGUUCAUCGUACAUCGUGCAGCCAGAAAUCAUAUUAAAUAUUGUUAUUUAAAAUUAAACAUAAACAAUACCUGACGAAAAUUGACCACACAAUGUAUGAUAAACGGACACAAUUUAAGAAUUUCCAAAAUCCUCACAAAGAGGAUUAGAAGAAGAUCCUCAUUCCCAAAAGAAAAUAGCUAAAUAAUAACUUAUAUGGUUGUCGUGUAUGCAUAUUCACGCACCGUACUUCAAACGGCUAUCGAUGACUUGGAAUCUCCACCCUAACCCCACAGCACAGCAGACAAGAACUAUUUCAUUCCGAAUUAAGACCUAAGAAUCUUCGCAAUUCUGGAAUGAAUCAAUGGACAAAUUGGUUAAGGAGUCAUUAUCAAUAUCAAAUUGAUGUAUCUCAAAUUAAAUGGACUAGAGUAGUACCACAAAAAUGGCGAAAUAUAUUGAACUGUAUAGCUCAAAAUAAAGAUUUAUAUAAUCCAUGAAUAUUGAUAUGUAUAUUCCAUAAAAAAAAAUUAAAAAAUUUAUCUUAAUUAAUUGUUUCUGAGUCACUGGUUUCUUAUUUCUUUUCUUUUGAAAGGGGUCGGGUUAAUAAAAAAAAUUAAGAUAUAUAAAAUAAAACUUAAAUAGAAUUUUCUCUUUACAAUGGGAUUUUAGGGAGACCUUGGCUAAUAAAGCUAGAUACUGUCACUUCCGUCAAGUACCAAAAAAAUCUGAUUCCGCAUCCCCGGGAAGAGGAGUAAGAGAAAUCAAGUUUGACUAGGCCGCAUCUCGACGAUGAACUGUGCAAGUAUUAUAGGAAUAAAAGGGGAAGACGAAACAUAAAUUGUGGAUCAACUAAGCCCUCUCGGGACUUGUUUAAGAAUAAGAAAGAGGAAUCUCAUGUAAAUACCAUGGUAUAGGGUUUGAUCCUAUUCAUGGGGAUUCCGUAAAAAUUCCAUUCCAAAGAGAGUAAGUUCGAAAGAAUUGGGAUUUUUUGGAGAUUGGAUGCAGUUACUAAUUUCAUGAUCUGGCAUGUACAAAAUGAAAACUUCAUUCUCUAUUCUACGAGAAUUUCAAGGAAUCUGUCCUUAAAUUAUCACAAAUGAUCUCUGAAAUUGAUCUACACAAUCAAGACAGUUCCUGAAAUUGAAAAUCGAUCAAUGUAGUCCCUGAAAAUGCAUGUCACAAAUCAAUGUGGUCAUUCCGUCAUAAUUUCGUUAAAAAUUCUGUUAAAUGCUGAUGUGGCACAUAAAUGAGUCCUACAAAUUUAAUUAAAUAUUAUUAUGUGAAUAAAAAACAAUUGUUAUUUUUUAUAAUUAAAAUCUUAAAAAAAAAAGAAAAAGAAGGAGAUGAUUUCAUGAUCUUCUUCACCUCCCAUCCUCCCACUACAGCCCCCACCCCACCCCUCCCUCUCUCCCAUGAAUGAGGAUAUAGUUAAAAAAAGGAAGGUUUAAUAAAACACUUCUGGUACGGUUCACUUUUAACGAAAAAUCACAUUUUUUACCUUUAACUGUCGUUAUUUACUAUACCUUUAAAAAUUACUUUUCGUGAAAAGGUAAUUUUUUUUAAACUUUUCGUUAGUUUUCCUUUAAAAAUAUCCUUCAACUUGAACUAGUGAAGUGACAGAAAAAUUGAAAAGUCAUUUACCUGGAGCUUUGUCAAUAUGUGUGCAAUAAUAUCAUCUCUGGCUAAACCAAGGACUCGGCAAGCAAGUGCACGGAGACAGUCCAGUGCUGCAGGAGGAGAAUAUAUGCAUGGGUGGAGGAGAUGCAGAAGAACCUUUACACCAUUGUUGGCGUUAACAGAUUCCCUUGCUUGGCGGUAGCCUUGCUCCAAUUGUGCAGCCAUGCCUGCACAACCUGCCCCAACUCCUAAAGAUAUUCGGCGAUAGCCUUGCUCUAACUGGGUUUGUUGAAGCUGCAACUUCGUGGGAGAGAGGGAGGGGUGGGGUGGGGGCUGUAGUGGGAGGUGUUAGUAUGUAAGUUGUUAAGCUGAUUAGUAAACAUUACAAGAUUGUUAUGUGUGUCAUGUCUCAGCUCAUAGGCUGAGCUAUUGUGUAAAAUUGUGAUGUGUUGAUUAAGUCUCAUAGGGCUUAUCAUUUGACAAGUGUCUUGAUCUUAAGAUAGGUUGUAAUGGUUGGUUGAGAUUGAAUUGAGGUUAUAUCUCUCUCUCUCUCAUCUUUGUCAUCAGUUAAAUGUCUCUUCGGGUUGUUAUGCCCAGUAUGCAAUACAAUGAUAGAAGUUGAAAGGUUAUGCUCUGUGUUUGUGCUUUCUCUCUGAUUUCAUCUUCUAAAUCCUUACAAACAUUUCUCUCAAAUACUGUUAGACUUAGUUAUAUAGUUGUGUAGCUGGAUUCCAACAGGAGGGUGGUUAAGGGAAGAAGAUGAUGAACAGUGUUCAAUCAUCUGCUUCAUCUUUUUUUAUUUUUAUUUUUAAAAUUUUAAUUAAAAAGAUAACAAUUGUUUUUAUUAUUUAAAUAUUUUUAUUUAAAUAUUUAAUUAAAUUUGUGGAUAUGUUACAUCAGCAUUUAACAUAAUUUUUAAUUGAAUUAUGACGGAAUGACAUAUUGAUUUGUGACAACCAUUUUCAAGGAUUAUAUUGAUCAAUUUCAUAAACUAUCUUGAUUGAGUGAAUUAAUUUCAUAGACCAUUUAUCAUAAAAACCCAAUCCAAAAUAUACGUCCACACCCCUGCAUUGNNNNNNNNNNNNNNNNNNNNNNNNNNNNNNNNNNNNNNNNNNNNNNNNNNNNNNNNNNNNNNNNNNNNNNNNNNNNNNNNNNNNNNNNNNNNNNNNNNNNNNNNNNNNNNNNNNNNNNNNNNNNNNNNNNNNNNNNNNNNNNNNNNNNNNNNNNNNNNNNNNNNNNNNNNNNNNNNNNNNNNNNNNNNNNNNNNNNNNNNNNNNNNNNNNNNNNNNNNNNNNNNNNNNNNNNNNNNNNNNNNNNNNNNNNNNNNNNNNNNNNNNNNNNNNNNNNNNNNNNNNNNNNNNNNNNNNNNNNNNNNNNNNNNNNNNNNNNNNNNNNNNNNNNNNNNNNNNNNNNNNNNNNNNNNNNNNNNNNNNNNNNNNNNNNNNNNNNNNNNNNNNNNNNNNNNNNNNNNNNNNNNNNNNNNNNNNNNNNNNNNNNNNNNNNNNNNNNNNNNNNNNNNNNNNNNNNNNNNNNNNNNNNNNNNNNNNNNNNNNNNNNNNNNNNNNNNNNNNNNAUAUAUAUGUUUAUAUAUAUGCUAUUUUCUGGGAAAGUAUACAGGUUUUACGGUGAGGGGUUAGAAAUAUUUUAAAUGAAAAGUUUUCGAAAAACUUUGUUUUACUGACCCACUCAAUUUUGUUUUGCGCCCCUCCAGGUUCAAGUUAGCAGAGCUUUGGUGGCCACGAGGAAUCCAACGGUGUUCUGACAGAAUUCACAAAAGUAGGACUCACCCUCGGGUGUGUCAUCUUAGUAAUUGGAAAUUUUUUUUAAAGCUUCUGAACUAUGUAAAUGGUUACGUCACUCUCACGUGACGGCCAGCACGCCCUCCUUCGGGACGGGGUGUGUCAUUAAGUCUAGUUGUUAUAAUGCUCAUCCGACUAUUAACUGAGCCUUUGCUUUGAAUUCGGUAUUAAGCCAAGUUUAGCAUUUUAAUAGUAUAAUUAUAAUAAUAAAGUACCUUGAAUAUGGAAGUCAUCAACAACUAAAGCACACACUUGUUUAAUUUGUAUGAACACUGUAUAUUAUUGUUUUUGUAGACCCUGUCAACCACAACCAGUAAGAAUAUAUUAUCCUAGACACCUAACUAUAACUAGCAUAAAAAGAAGAUUAGCCUAUAUUUCUAACUAUAACUAGC